This 674-nucleotide ribosomal RNA is filed under the name Trametes hirsuta. Its description in RNAcentral is "eukaryotic LSU rRNA". It matches the Rfam family "Eukaryotic large subunit ribosomal RNA", at positions 72 to 731 of the family's 3401-position model. The record is from RNAcentral. RNAcentral also lists the same sequence under 1 other name. Lineage: Eukaryota; Fungi; Basidiomycota; Agaricomycetes; Polyporales; Polyporaceae.
GGAUUCCCCUAGUAACUGCGAGUGAAGCGGGAAAAGCUCAAAUUUAAAAUCUGGCGGUCUUUGGCCGUCCGAGUUGUAGUCUGGAGAAGCGUCUUCCGCGUUGGACCGUGUACAAGUCUCUUGGAACAGAGCGUCAUAGAGGGUGAGAAUCCCGUCUUUGACACGGACUACCAAUGCUUUGUGAUGCGCUCUCAAAGAGUCGCGUUGUUUGGGAAUGCAGCGCAAAAUGGGAGGUGAAUUCCUUCUAAAGCUAAAUAUUGGCGAGAGACCGAUAGCGAACAAGUACCGUGAGGGAAAGAUGAAAAGCACUUUGGAAAGAGAGUUAAACAGUACGUGAAAUUGCUGAAAGGGAAACGCUUGAAGUCAGUCGCGUCGUCCGGAACUCAGCCUUGCUUCGGCUUGGUGCACUUUCCGGUUGACGGGCCAGCAUCUAUUUUGACCGCUGGAAAAGGGCUGGAGGAAUGUGGCACCUUCGGGUGUGUUAUAGCCUUCAGUCGCAUACAGCGGUUGGGAUCGAGGAACGCAGCACGCCUUAUGGCUGGGGUUCGCCCACAUUCGUGCUUAGGAUGCUGGCAUAAUGGCUUUAAACGACCCGUCUUGAAACACGGACCAAGGAGUCUAACAUGCCUGCGAGUGUUUGGGUGGAAAACCCGAGCGCGUAAUGAAAGUGAAAG